UACGGGGGGGGCAAGCGUUGUUCGGAAUUACUGGGCGUAAAGGGUUUGUAGGUGGCUUGUUAAGUCAGACGUGAAAUCCCUCAGCUUAACUGGGGAACUGCGUCUGAUACUGGCGAGCUUGAGUGCAGGAGAGGAACGCGGAAUUCCCGGUGUAGCGGUGAAAUGCGCAGAUAUCGGGAGGAACACCUAUGGCGAAGGCAGCUCGCUGGGACGUUACUGACGCUGAGACGCGAAAGCGUGGGGAGCAAACAGG
Molecule: ribosomal RNA, 253 nt
Filed under: uncultured bacterium
Lineage: Bacteria
Description: partial 16S ribosomal RNA
Rfam family: Bacterial small subunit ribosomal RNA
Source: RNAcentral